CAAGUUCUUAUCUCCUUAUUUUCUUCAGAUAAGUAAUCUUAUUCUAUAAAUUGUUUGCUACGUCUUUUUUCUUUUGUAAGAGUUAAGACUUGAAAAUCCAUUUAUGUGUCAGUUAUUCCUGGUUCAGAUUUUUGUAUGGACCUAUAUUGUGGGAUGAUAAUAUUUUCUCUUGUCCUAUAUAGACUUUCUAAUUUUGGAUUUAUAAAAGAAGUAGAACUUUUUGGUAAUUCUAUUAUAGGUCUUGUAGAUGAUUUUAUUUCAGAAUCAUCUUUACUGUUAUUUCUUCUAUUGUUGGUAAAUUGAAUUUCUAUUUUACCAUUAGAAUUUUCUAGUAUUCUUUCUGGAAUAUUGUUUAUUAUUGGGACUUGGUAUUGAUGAUUUUCAUUGUAGAUCGACCAUGAUUCGGGUAGAGUAAUUUCUGACCAUUCUAUGGCUUUUGGUAUAAUAGUACUAGAUUUUUCAAUAUUGGUUUGAAAAAAUAUUGUUUUUCCCCUUGUAUCAUGU
This 504-nucleotide long non-coding RNA is filed under the name Amborella trichopoda. Its description in RNAcentral is "long non-coding RNA (ATRI_LNC005045)". The record is from RNAcentral. Lineage: Eukaryota; Viridiplantae; Streptophyta; Magnoliopsida; Amborellales; Amborellaceae.